CUUUAAUCAUUCGGUGGUAACAGCUGUGCUGGAAUUUCCCGUGUGUCUGCGUGGCUUUCAUUCCUUUCUUCUCAUUCGCGUGGCUCUCAUGCUUUUGUUCUCAUUCUUGGCCUGUUAUUGGUUUUGGGAGCACCGCUUCAGGAGUACAGCUUUAGUUCCUCGUUCUUCUUCUUAGAGCUAACUCUCUCAUUCUUUACUUUGUUUACCUUAGACGAUGUGUGUUUGGUUUCCACUUUGGUGGUGUAUGAUUUCCAGGUUCUCUGCUUAAUUGGCUUUGCUGAAAAUUUUGUUUUCCAGUUACUUCAGCGCUUUGUGGUUUUGCAAGAUUAAUUCUUUAAGAAUGGGUCGGAAUAGAGUAUAUGGAAGUUUGGAGGAGGCUCGUGCUGCGAAAAAUCGAAGGAGCCGCGAGCGGCGUGCUGCUGUUCAUCGUGGAAUGAUGCGCCAUUAGGAGUGUGUACAUUAGCUGUCAUGGCUUUUAAUAUACGUGAUCCAAAUGCUAUGAAUCAACCAAAUAUGGGAGCCACUGAAUCAUCAUUGGCGUCGGACUCAAUGUUUGCAUCUGCAGAGAGUAAUGCAGAGCAAUUUGCGACUGAAAAUCAACGAGAUGUAUCUAGGCCUAUUGCUGAUGGUGUUAACAAGGUUACACCAUUGCUGAUGGUGUAUCUAUACUGUGAUUUUUGUGAGCUUGAGGGGUGUUUUGGUCUUUUGGCAUUGGAUGGCAAUGGUUUUGCUGGAAAUUCACUUCUGUCCGCGUGGGGCUCUUGAAUGGGAACAUUUUCGCCGUCAGCAAUUUUCUCUCAUUCUGUUCUUGGUUCUGUUCUAGGUUUUCUUUACCUCAGCUGUCCAGGCAAUUUAGGCGGUGAGUUGAGCUGAACCCAGUGCGCACCGCUUCAAGGUUUUGGGAGCUGCUACUUUUUCUUAUUCUUUUGUCGGUCUUGUUUCCUCUCGUUCUUUUCUUGGCCUUCUUUACCAGGUGUGUUUUUCCCAUUCCUCAUUCUUUUUCUUAGCUUUCUCUGGCCAGUGCUUUUUCCUUCCCUUGUUUUCCUAUUGAAUUUUCUGAGGACGGCGAUGAUUCCUGAUAGAUAGUCUUGCUGUAGUUAUGCCUUAUGUUACUGCUACUUCUUUGUUUUAAUGCAGCUGCUGCUUGGCUUAGGUAUAGCUAUGGUGGAUAUUACUCAGUGUAACCUUGCGAUAUCUUUAUUUGUUCUUCUUUGGCUGGAAUUGGAGAACAAUUGCUCUUUUUCUUGUUAAUGGAAUGCGUCGAUAUAGCUGUAAUAGUUAUUAUUCAAUUAAAUGUUAAGUUGUGUUUUUCGUUCCUUUUCUUUGUGCUGUAGAUUAAUGCUUUGAGAAUGGGUCGGAAUAGAGUAUACGGAAGCUUGGAAGAGGCAAUUAAACCAGAAUUAACUAUAAAACAGGUCUUUGCAUAAUUAAUGCUUUUACAAAUAUCUUGAAAUAAUAUUUCUUACUCCAUUAAAACUUUUCCUAUCAGAAAUUAGCAGUGAGAAUCCGGGUUCUGAUAUGAGUUCAGUGUUGCAUGGAUUGGACAAGAUGAGUUUGGGGUACGGGGCUAAAGCAGACGAGAAACAGGGGAAUCUGUAAACCAUUUGGCCUGACUUCUCAAUGUGUUAAUUCGUUUUUUUAAUGAAGCUGUUUAGACUUCACUAAGAGACAUGAAAACUUACUGAGUGUUGUUUUGAUCGGUUAAGUGAAUUGUUAUCGCAAUACAAAGGUGAAUCUUUUUUCCAGAUUUAUUUUCUUUAGAAUUCAUCAAAUGCUAAUUUCCAUUUCAGAUUUAUUUUGUUUAUGCUUUCCCACUACUUUCUUUAUGAGACUGGGGAUUGCCAAGUUUGUCGCAUGAAUCAGGAAUAUAUUUUAUACUAAAGGCAAAACGAAGGGCUCUAGGAAAUGUCUGGUGUUUUGGCCGAGCAUCAUCCAGCGCUAGCCAAUGCCCUGAUCGUAUGAUUGUUGGGUAACGUGUUUGAUGGUGUGAGUGCAGCAAAGGGUGUAUGUUCCAGGAAGGGAAAAGGAGAAGCAAACUGUUGAGCUGAAGGUCUACAAUCAGGGAAUGUUCAAAACUGAGUUGUGUAACAAAUGGCAAGAAACCGGGGAAUGUCCCUAUGCAGAGAACUGCCAAUUUGCUCAUGGAAUUAAGGAGCUACGCCCUGUAUUUCGCCACCCAAGGUACAAGACUGAGGUAUGCCGUAUGGUGUUGAACGGUGAUCACUGCCCUUAUGGACACUGAUGCCACAUCUGCCACACCCUCACUGAUGCGGAGAAGCUUAUCAAGUCUAUGAACAUCAGGCCCCUAAAGCCACUCAAUCGUUAGGUCCAUGAUUAUAACUCCCCUAAAUGAUGUUAGACAACUGCAAAAGUCUUGGCUGGUAUGCAACGAUGCUUUUGUUCUUCAAAGUAAGCAAUUGAUUAAUAGGCAAUAAGGCUAAGGUCUACUGAUGUGAUAAUACUGACUGCUUGAUUAAAAAAAAAACUGUAUGAUCCGUAGUCAAGGAGAUUAAAAGUAACAUUUCUCGGCAGUGCACCUUUGAUGA
Coffea arabica (coffee) is the source of this 2546-nucleotide long non-coding RNA. RefSeq lists it as uncharacterized. The record is from RefSeq and is a predicted model, not a curated record. NCBI's taxonomy places the organism in Eukaryota, Viridiplantae, Streptophyta, Magnoliopsida, Gentianales, Rubiaceae.